GCAUAUCAAUAAGCGGAGGAAAAGAAACCAACCGGGAUUACCUCAGUAACGGCGAGUGAAGCGGUAACAGCUCAAAUUUGAAAUCUGGCUCUUCCGGAGUCCGAGUUGUAAUUUGUAGAAGAUGCUUUGGGUUGUGGGUUCGGCCUAAGUUCCUUGGAACAGGACGUCAUAGAGGGUGAGAAUCCCGUAUGUGGCCGAGGCCCGCGCCUAUGUAAAGCUCUUUCAACGAGUCGAGUUGUUUGGGAAUGCAGCUCAAAAUGGGUGGUAAAUUUCAUCUAAAGCUAAAUAUGGGCCAGAGACCGAUAGCGCACAAGUAGAGUGAUCGAAAGAUGAAAAGCACUUUGGAAAGAGAGUUAAACAGUACGUGAAAUUGUUGAAAGGGAAGCGCUUGCCACCAGACUUGGGCGCUGUCGAUCACCCCGAGUUCUCUCGAGUGCACUCGACAGCGCACAGGCCAGCAUCGGUUCGGGUGGCUGGAUAAAGGCCGUAGGAACGUGGCUCCCUUCGGGGAGUGUUAUAGCCUACGGUGCCAUGCAGCCCAGCCGGACCGAGGACCGCGCCUUCGGGCUAGGAUGCUGGCGUAAUGGUUGUAAGCGACCCGUCUUGAAACACGGACC
This 617-nucleotide ribosomal RNA is filed under the name Erysiphe alphitoides. RNAcentral's name for it is "partial large subunit ribosomal RNA". It matches the Rfam family "Eukaryotic large subunit ribosomal RNA", at positions 38 to 667 of the family's 3401-position model. Lineage: Eukaryota; Fungi; Ascomycota; Leotiomycetes; Helotiales; Erysiphaceae. The record is from RNAcentral.